RNAcentral lists this ribosomal RNA (1445 nucleotides) under uncultured Mycoplasma sp. Its description in RNAcentral is "partial 16S ribosomal RNA". It matches the Rfam family "Bacterial small subunit ribosomal RNA". The record is from RNAcentral. Lineage: Bacteria; Bacillati; Mycoplasmatota; Mollicutes; Mycoplasmatales; Mycoplasmataceae.
GAUGAACGCUGGCUGUGUGCCUAAUACAUGCAUGUCGAGCGGAAGUAGCAAUACUUUAGCGGCGAAUGGGUGAGUAACACGUGCUUAAUCUACCUCUUAGAUUGGAAUACCUAAUGGAAACAUUGGUUAAUGCCGGAUACGCAUGGAGUCGCAUGACUCCGUUGUGAAAGGGGCCUUUAAAGCUCCACUAAGAGAUGAGGGUGCGGAACAUUAGCUAGUUGGUGAGGUAACGGCCCACCAAGGCUAUGAUGUUUAGCCGGGGUCGAGAGACUGAACGGCCACAUUGGGACUGAGAUACGGCCCAAACUCCUACGGGAGGCAGCAGUAGGGAAUAUUCCACAAUGAGCGAAAGCUUGAUGGAGCGACACAGCGUGCACGAUGAAGGUCUUAUGGAUUGUAAAGUGCUGUUGCAAGGGAAGAAAAAGUAGUUGAGGAAAUGCUUCUACAUUGACGGUACCUUGUUAGAAAGCGAUGGCUAACUAUGUGCCAGCAGCCGCGGUAAUACAUAGGUCGCAAGCGUUAUCCGGAAUUAUUGGGCGUAAAGCGUUCGUAGGCUGUUUAUUAAGUCUGGAGUCAAAUCCCAGGGCUCAACCCUGGCUCGCUUUGGAUACUGGUAAACUAGAGUUGGAUAGAGGUAAGCGGAAUUCCAUGUGAAGCGGUGAAAUGCGUAGAUAUAUGGAAGAACACCAAAGGCGAAGGCAGCUUACUGGGUUUAUACUGACGCUGAGGAACGAAAGCGUGGGGAGCAAACAGGAUUAGAUACCCUGGUAGUCCACGCCGUAAACGAUGAUCAUUAGUCGGCAGAGAACUGUUGACGCAGCUAACGCAUUAAAUGAUCCGCCUGAGUAGUAUGCUCGCAAGAGUAAAACUUAAAGGAAUUGACGGGGACCCGCACAAGCGGUGGAGCAUGUGGUUUAAUUUGAAGAUACGCGGAGAACCUUACCCACUCUUGACAUCCUUCGCAAAGCUAUAGAGAUAUAGUGGAGGUUAACGGAGUGACAGAUGGUGCAUGGUUGUCGUCAGCUCGUGUCGUGAGAUGUUUGGUCAAGUCCUGCAACGAGCGCAACCCCUAUCUUUAGUUACUAACGAGUCAUGUCGAGGACUCUAGAGAUACUGCCUGGGUAACUGGGAGGAAGGUGGGGAUGACGUCAAAUCAUCAUGCCUCUUACGAGUGGGGCAACACACGUGCUACAAUGGUCGGUACAAAGAGAAGCAAUAUGGCGACAUGGAGCAAAUCUCAAAAAGCCGAUCUCAGUUCGGAUUGAAGUCUGCAAUUCGACUUCAUGAAGUCGGAAUCGCUAGUAAUCGCAGAUCAGCUAUGCUGCGGUGAAUACGUUCUCGGGUCUUGUACACACCGCCCGUCACACCAUGGGAGCUGGUAAUACCCAAAGUCGGUUUGCUAACCUCGGAGGCGACUGCCUAAGGUAGGACUGGUGACUGGGGUG